This is an unclassified non-coding RNA of Papio anubis (olive baboon), 148 nucleotides long. It matches the Rfam family "Metazoan signal recognition particle RNA". From Rfam's summary of the family: The signal recognition particle (SRP) is a universally conserved ribonucleoprotein. The record is from Ensembl. Lineage: Eukaryota; Metazoa; Chordata; Mammalia; Primates; Cercopithecidae.
GCCGGGCGUGGUGAUGGGCGCCUGUAAUCCCAGCUACUUGGGAGGCUGAGGCAGGAGAAUCGCUUGAACCCAGGAGGCAGAGGUUGCAGUGAGCCAAGAUCACACCAUUGUACUGCUGCCUGGGUGACAGAGUGAGACCCUGUCUCAA